AUUCCAGCUCCAAUAGCGUAUAUUAAAGUUGUUGUGGUUAAAAAGCUCGUAGUUGGAUUUCGGCGGGUAUUGGUUGGUUUGAAUUGCUUCAACACUGACUUUUUUACCCGUGUGUUUUGCCAGAAUUUAGCGGGUGAUCUUCGCCGAUUGUCCGUUGGAACUGGUAGGUUUACUUUGAAAAAAUUAGAGUGCUCAAAGCAAGCUUACUGCUUGAAUAGUUGCGCAUGGAAUAAUAGAAUAGGAAGUCGUUUCUAUUUUGUUGGUUUUCGGAAAUCGACUUAAUGAUUAACAGGGACAAUUGGGGGCAUUAGUAUUCAGACGACAGAGGUGAAAUUCUUGGACCGUCUGAAGACUGACUACUGCGAAAGCAUUUGCCAAGAGUGUUUUCAUCG
Molecule: ribosomal RNA, 392 nt
Filed under: Centropages sp.
Lineage: Eukaryota; Metazoa; Arthropoda; Copepoda; Calanoida; Centropagidae
Description: partial small subunit ribosomal RNA
Rfam family: Eukaryotic small subunit ribosomal RNA
Source: RNAcentral